RNAcentral lists this transfer-messenger RNA (212 nucleotides) under Phycisphaerales bacterium. Its description in RNAcentral is "partial transfer-messenger RNA". It matches the Rfam family "transfer-messenger RNA", at positions 1 to 236 of the family's 374-position model. From Rfam's summary of the family: Bacterial tmRNA, also known as 10Sa RNA or SsrA, is named for its dual tRNA and mRNA-like properties. Its role is to liberate the mRNA from a stalled ribosome. The record is from RNAcentral. Lineage: Bacteria; Pseudomonadati; Planctomycetota; Phycisphaerae; Phycisphaerales.
GGGGCCGACUGGUUUCGACCGAGCAGGGAAGGCAUGUCGUGGCGCGUCGAGGAGCAUGCGGGCCUCGUACCAAGCAUGCAAAAAACAAUUGCUGAGCGUCCUUACGCUCUCGCGGCCUAAUACAGGCCACGCACUCCCCGACCGACGCCCGAUAGGGCGGGGAGUGAAGACAUCGGGCUGGCUCGCGCGGGGUGCACCCGGCCGCGCGAGCG